Molecule: transfer RNA, 73 nt
Filed under: Picea glauca (white spruce)
Lineage: Eukaryota; Viridiplantae; Streptophyta; Pinopsida; Pinales; Pinaceae
Description: tRNA-Met
Rfam family: tRNA
About the family: Transfer RNA (tRNA) molecules are approximately 80 nucleotides in length. Their secondary structure includes four short double-helical elements and three loops (D, anti-codon, and T loops).
Source: RNAcentral
GCUGGGAUAUUUCAACGGUUAGAAUUCAACUUUCAUACAGUUUCGGUAAUGGUUCGAUUCCAUUUCUCAGCUC